GCCGCGAUAGCUCAGUUGGGAGAGCGUCAGACUGAAGAUCUGAAGGUCGCUGGUUCAAUUCCGGCUCGCGGCA
This 73-nucleotide transfer RNA is filed under the name Lingula anatina. RNAcentral describes it as "tRNA-Phe". It matches the Rfam family "tRNA". Rfam says of the family: Transfer RNA (tRNA) molecules are approximately 80 nucleotides in length. Their secondary structure includes four short double-helical elements and three loops (D, anti-codon, and T loops). Lineage: Eukaryota; Metazoa; Brachiopoda; Lingulata; Lingulida; Lingulidae. The record is from RNAcentral.